This 1370-nucleotide ribosomal RNA is filed under the name uncultured bacterium. Its description in RNAcentral is "bacterial SSU rRNA". It matches the Rfam family "Bacterial small subunit ribosomal RNA", at positions 28 to 1381 of the family's 1533-position model. The record is from RNAcentral.
GAUGAACGCUGGCGGCGUGCCUAAUACAUGCAAGUCGAGCGAACAGAUAAGGAGCUUGCUCCUUUGAAGUUAGCGGCGGACGGGUGAGUAACACGUGGGUAACCUACCUAUAAGACUGGGAUAACUUCGGGAAACCGGAGCUAAUACCGGAUAACAUUUAGAACCGCAUGGUUCUAAAGUGAAAGAUGGUUUUGCUAUCACUUAUAGAUGGACCCGCGCCGUAUUAGCUAGUUGGUAAGGUAACGGCUUACCAAGGCGACGAUACGUAGCCGACCUGAGAGGGUGAUCGGCCACACUGGAACUGAGACACGGUCCAGACUCCUACGGGAGGCAGCAGUAGGGAAUCUUCCGCAAUGGGCGAAAGCCUGACGGAGCAACGCCGCGUGAGUGAUGAAGGGUUUCGGCUCGUAAAACUCUGUUAUUAGGGAAGAACAAAUGUGUAAGUAACUGUGCACAUCUUGACGGUACCUAAUCAGAAAGCCACGGCUAACUACGUGCCAGCAGCCGCGGUAAUACGUAGGUGGCAAGCGUUAUCCGGAAUUAUUGGGCGUAAAGCGCGCGUAGGCGGUUUCUUAAGUCUGAUGUGAAAGCCCACGGCUCAACCGUGGAGGGUCAUUGGAAACUGGGAAACUUGAGUGCAGAAGAGGAAAGUGGAAUUCCAUGUGUAGCGGUGAAAUGCGCAGAGAUAUGGAGGAACACCAGUGGCGAAGGCGACUUUCUGGUCUGUAACUGACGCUGAUGUGCGAAAGCGUGGGGAUCAAACAGGAUUAGAUACCCUGGUAGUCCACGCCGUAAACGAUGAGUGCUAAGUGUUAGGGGGUUUCCGCCCCUUAGUGCUGCAGCUAACGCAUUAAGCACUCCGCCUGGGGAGUACGACCGCAAGGUUGAAACUCAAAGGAAUUGACGGGGACCCGCACAAGCGGUGGAGCACGUGGUUUAAUUCGAAGCAACGCGAAGAACCUUACCAGGUCUUGACAUCCCUUGACAACGCUAGAAAUAGCGCGUUCCCUUCGGGGACAAGGUGACAGGUGGUGCAUGGUUGUCGUCAGCUCGUGUCGUGAGAUGUUGGGUUAAGUCCCGCAACGAGCGCAACCCUUAUUAUUAGUUGCCAGCAUUCAGUUGGGCACUCUAGUGAGACUGCCGGUGAUAAACCGGAGGAAGGUGGGGAUGACGUCAAAUCAUCAUGCCCCUUAUGAUUUGGGCUACACACGUGCUACAAUGGACAAUACAAAGGGCAGCUAAACCGCGAGGUCAUGCAAAUCCCAUAAAGUUGUUCUCAGUUCGGAUUGUAGUCUGCAACUCGACUACAUGAAGCUGGAAUCGCUAGUAAUCGUAGAUCAGCAUGCUACGGUGAAUACGUUCCCGGGUCU